GCAUUUCUUUGCUCACUAUCACAAGAACCGAGACUGCUGAUCUAGAGCUCCAGCUCUGUUGAUCUCCUUGGCUGAAGGGUCCAUCCCAACUCAAGAUCCCAGAGGAAACCAGUCGACAGAGCUGUGAUUUGCCCUGUGAUUUGCCCUGGGCCUUCCCACAAUUCUAGAAACCCAUGACUUGACAUCAUUGCGCGGCCACCUGACUCCCAGCUGGCUUCAGCCUCUCCGUUUCAUCUCCCUCUACUCUCACUCUGCUGCUACCAAGUCAGACUUCUUUUCAGAAUGUCCUGUAUCAUUUUAAUGACUGGAGUGUGACUUUGUUCUCAGCACAAUGAGUAACAAAGCCAAAACACUGGAGAAUACGUUUACGUAUUCAAGAAAACCUCAGACAAGGAAGAAUGCUUUCAUAAUACAGUACAUUAAAAUCAGACGAAGCCUCGAAGGGCAGAAUCACCGACCCUGAAAAAUCAGAGUGUACUACAGAAGAAGACGACAGCGUUUGAGCACAUUUGUUGAAGCAGCCUCCUCUCCCUUAUGGUACGAUAAUCCCACACCGUUUUACCAUGCUCUCUGGCCUUCCCAGAACAUCAAUAAAAACUGCAUCCCCUGACUUUUCUUGGUGGUUUCUGUUAUCUUCCCUAAACUUUAAUUUAAUGUGAUCUUACUUAGGCAUUUCUCUUAGAGAGUAGGUCAUUAUAACGAAGCAUUUUUCACCCUCUGGGAAAGAGGUUUCCACAUAAGGGCCAGGCCACGUUUUCCCUUUCAUCCAGGGAUUCUACCAUAAGCAGCCUCUCAUCUUCACUUUUCCCAAAAAUUUUCUUAAAAUCAGUGUAUUUUUUUGCAGGACCGGAUAUCACAUUACAUUCUCUAGUUGGGGGUGGGGGGCGGGAUGGGAAGUGAGAACAAAGAACGAUAACUCCCGAAGUGAUUUUUUAAAAUGUAAACUUUCUUAUGAAGCAUAACAUAGACACGUGCCAACAUUAAGCGUACAGCUCCAUGAAAUUUUAUGCAGACACUCACUCAUGAAACCACAACUAGAACAGGAAAUAGGAUUUUGCCAGCACUCCUAUAAGGCACCUUGCAGUCGCUCCCCUCCCCUACCCCACUCCAGAACAUAACAAGCUCAUUUUCUGACUUCUAUCACUGUAGAUUAAUUUGCCGCUUUUCCAAACUUCCGUAAAUGGAAUCGGACAGUACAUACUCUUUGGUACCUGGCUCAAUAUUCUGUUCCUUGAGUGUGCUGAAGCAGUCAUUUGUUCAAUUUUAUUGCUGACUCAUAUUCUGUGCUAUGAAAAUGUAACAAUUUAUUUUUCCAUUCUACCACUAAUGGGCCUCUAGAGUCUUUCUACUAUUUGACCAUAAUGGAAAAUGCUGCAAUAAAAAUUGUUGUGCACGUCUUUUGAGAGCACAUGUACCUAUUUCUGUGGAUAUAUACCUAGACGUGUAAUAUCUGGGUCAUAAAUAGUCGUGUGCCUAUGCAGGCUUGCAGUGCCUCAUGAGAGCCUAGUUUUUGCAGUCUAAUUGUUAAAAAUAGCCAUAACUGAAAAUUAAGUUAUGUAAAC
Molecule: long non-coding RNA, 1562 nt
Filed under: Homo sapiens (human)
Lineage: Eukaryota; Metazoa; Chordata; Mammalia; Primates; Hominidae
Description: HSALNT0345334
Source: RNAcentral